Molecule: ribosomal RNA, 440 nt
Filed under: uncultured bacterium
Lineage: Bacteria
Description: partial 16S ribosomal RNA
Rfam family: Bacterial small subunit ribosomal RNA
Source: RNAcentral
CCUACGGGAGGCAGCAGUGGGGGAUAUUGCACAAUGGGGGAAACCCUGAUGCAGCGACGCCGCGUGUGGGAAGACGGUCCUCUGGAUUGUAAACCACUGUCCCCAGGGACGAAGAUGACGGUACCUUGGGAGGCCGCUCCGGCUAACUACGUGCCAGCAGCCUCGGUCAUACGUAGGGAGCGAGCGUUGUCCGGAAUUACUGGGUGUAAAGGGAGCGUAGGCGGGGAUGCAAGUUGGGUGUCAAAACUACCGGCUCAACUGGUAGUCGCACUCAAAACUGCAGCGCUUGAGUGAAGUAGAGGCAGGCGGAAUUCGUAGUGUAGCGGUGAAAUGCGUAGAUAGUAGGAGGAACACCAGUGGCGAAGGCGGCCUGCUGGGCUUUGACUGACGCUGAGGCUCGAAAGUGUGGGGAGCAAACAGGAUUAGAUACCCCUGUAGUC